AUCUGGACUAUGUUCUUCAAUAU
RNAcentral lists this microRNA (23 nucleotides) under Monodelphis domestica (gray short-tailed opossum). RNAcentral describes it as "Mdo-Mir-7371-P26_5p (mature (guide))". Lineage: Eukaryota; Metazoa; Chordata; Mammalia; Didelphimorphia; Didelphidae. The record is from RNAcentral.